UAAUUUAGGAAACAUUAAAAAAAAAAAAAAAUCAUUGCAAUUUAAAUCAUGAUUUAUUUGCGAUGUUUUCGAAAGUGUUUCUGAGAGUACUUAGUAGUAGUGAUGUAUCUGAUAAAGUAGUAGUGAAGUAUCUGAUACAGUGAUAAUUGCUAUCCAAAUGCUUCGAUCUACGUACCUUUUACCUUUAAUGAAGAAACUUUAUGCUAAAAAAAGCUAACAAUCCCUUAAAUCUAUGCUUUUUAUUGUUGCAGGAAAUUGCUGUGUUUGAUGACAGUAAUGCUCUUAACAUCAUGUUGCCAAAGUUGUCAAAGAUACAAAAAUGUUUUCAUCUGUUCACUUUUUCUACAACCAAGCAAGAAUGAAAAGACAGUAGACAUAAGUUCUGUUUAUAACACAAGGUCCCGUAUGAAAACUUCCAAAAGGUUUCAAGC
Molecule: unclassified non-coding RNA, 431 nt
Filed under: Stegodyphus dumicola
Lineage: Eukaryota; Metazoa; Arthropoda; Arachnida; Araneae; Eresidae
Description: uncharacterized LOC118203111, transcript variant X1
Source: RNAcentral